CUUAUCCUUCUCAGACGGAAAAUCUCCCUCAAAAUCACUUUUUUCAAAAUCACUUUUUCUCCAUCGAAACCGUAAUUUCUCCGAUCAAAAUCAUUAUUUCUCCAUCAAUGUUUCUCCUUUAUCAAUCAAAAUCGCCGCUUCUCUAUCAUCGAUCGAAAUCCUUGUUUCUUCAUAAUCGAUUGAAAUCGCAACUUCUCGUUCAUUGAUCGAAGCUUCAACUUCCCCUUCUUCGUUGAAAAUCACUGCUUUAACUUUCUCUUCGGAAAUCGCUACUUCAACUUUCUAAUCAGUUACUUUACCAUUCGAAAUCGCUCACGCAUUUCUCAAAACCUAAUACUUGAGGUAAUUGGUUUUUCUUGAAUCAAAUCUCACAGAAUCACUCAUUCACUCUAAUAAAACUUAUCUGAAGAAUAUCUUUCUCCGAUUUACACGGUUUCUAUCAUAACAGUUUGUUGUUGCAGCAUCUCUUUUCGAUCUUUGCUACAACUGUGCAUUUUUCUCUGAUCGAUACUAUCGAUAUUCUAUUUUACUAAUUUUAAGGUAUAGUUGAUGUUGAUUUUAAAAUUUUCAGAUAUAGUUAUCAUGAAUAUCCUGAUAUAAUAUUUAAAUUAGAUAAAAUUAUCAUGAAUAUUCUUUAGAAUGUUGUUAGAAGAAACUGAUUCCAAAGUUACUAGACAAAGGUUGAUGGAUAAAGUUAUACACUUGUAUAGUGUAAGUAUUUAGUGUUUUUUUGUUAUUAUUUUAUAAGUUGUUUUAUCAGGCUAUCUUGGAUGGAAAUAAGCUAUAGGUGAAAACAGCUUUAGAACUAAGUUGUUUCACUAGUUUCACGAUUACUUAUGAUAGUAGAUAAAUUUGAAUAAGUCGAUUCAAAUGGCAAACCGACUCUAAAUUAGUAAGUCUAAAUACACAAAUUUCCUUGAUUUUUGUUUUCUAAACCUCUAAGGUUUUGUUAAGAUUAGACUAAUAACACUAUCAGUUAUUCCUUUGAAGUGAAUUGAUCUUGAUUUGGAAUUUGAACAAGCUUGUUUUGCUCUGUUUGUGUUUUCAAACUUCUAGAAAACUUGUUAAUAUGAUGUUGGCUGAAUAAACUUGGUGUUUUUACUUAUAGAUGUAGAGAGAGGGUGUAUGUUUUGUGUUCUUUGCUAUUGUGUAGUUUAUGAAAUGUUUGUUGAAGAAUCACAAUUGCUCCAUUGAUAAAUAAUAACCAUUUUAAGUUUGUAUAAAACAAUUUUCAUCUGUUUCAUGUUGAAUAUUUAUUUCUCCAUUGAUAUUUUUAAAAUCAUAUUAGUUGCAGUACCCAAUUACUUAGUUGGUAUGACCUCUCUUGCAAUUCCACAUAUGCACUAAAUUUGAAAUACAUGAUUAAUACUUUAUUAAUUGAUUAACAUUGUUGGUCCGAUUAACUUUAAGUCCGUGCCAUUACGGUUAUGAGGUAUUGUCCGAUUUGGGUGUGACAAUUCUCAUGUCUUUGUAUUUUAGAAAAGACGUUUCUUUAAGUUGAUGGAAAGGGGUAGUUGGGUCUAUCGUUGAGCGAUAUGUAACUAUGUCUAAUUUCCUUGUCAUUAUAAUUUCAGAGAAGACUCAAGGUUGAAGCUGUAAUUUCUUUGAUUGCUACAAAGAACUUCAAUUACAUGGAAGCAACUCAUUAAUUAAGAUCUCUAACAAGUUAUGAUUGAGAUUUGAUGGAAAAAUGAACCAUGAUUUUGAGGAAAUUUCAGUGGUGCCUGUCGCACGCUCGCGAAAAAUGAACAGAGUCGCCACCAAUAUAUUUAUCCCAUAAGGGAAAGGAAUAUCAGAAAACCUAACAAAGGAAGGAACAGGGUCUUGCGACCAGAGAAUCUAGGUACGGGAGUCGGUUACGCAAGGGGAAGGUAUUAGCACCCCUCGCGCCCAUCGUACUCGAUGGUAUCCACCUAUGUUUGUUUCUAUCUAAAGGGUGUGUACUAUGUCUAUGUCUAUAUGCGAAUGCAUGCAAAAAGAAAUACGGGGAAAAGAAGGAUUAUUUACAAAUGUGCUCGUUCAAGCCCCGCGACUUGAUGCCUACGUAUCCUUUUCAGGAAUCAGAGCGCCGUAGUUCGGCUCCAUAGUUUCGUUUGUUUUUGUGUUUUUUAGUUGGGCGGCGUUAACGCUCGCGCUCUUGCACAAGGGGACAACCUAGGAUGCAAUGGAGCGGAAAUAACGGUGCCCUUAAGAAAACGAGAGAAGAGAGAGAGAGUUUGAGUGUUUCGAGGAAAUCCCUUAAGCAAGGGAAACUCGAGUUACUCUUUGGUUUGUGUUUUUUAGAGGUUGGGAACUUACGCCUGAAUGGAACCCUUAAGCAAGGGAGCUCCAAGCACUCGAACAUCCCUUAAGCAAGAGAAGUUACAAGCUUCCAUUCCCUUUUUAUUAGUCAAAGUAUUUAUUAGUCAUUUUUUAUGAGUUUUCUUGGUAUUUUUUAUGGGAGUUUAUUUUGAAUAUUUUUAGAUGUUUUAGGGUUGUAAAAGAAAAUAGAAACUAGCCUAAUAUGAAUGGGGAAUUUCUACCUAAUAUUAUCAUGGCCUCUACCUAAGGUUAGGGUUUAAAAGAAGCAUGAAAAAUAAAACUCUAAGUAGAAUAUUGAAAAUAGCAUGAAGGCAUGAAAAAGAACAAGUCAAAAUAUAGCACAAAAGUGGAUUAAAACUACUAUUAUUAUUAUGGUUUUUUAUGAAAGAAAUGAGUUCAAAAGAUUAAUGUCAAAAUCUACUUAUUUUUAUAAGUAUUUUUUAUAUGGGUUAAAAAUGAUUUAUGGAUAAAAAAUCAAAAGAAAGCAAAAAAUGAAAAUAGAAUCAAAUCCAAACAUACAGGGGGUGAGAAUUGAAACUACUGGUAUGAUUAGCAAUGAUGCAGGGCCCAUAGCCCGAAAGAGGUUUUUUUUUUUUGGUUCAGUUUCUCUGAUAAAAACGUGUGAUGGGCCCUGUAGGUGUUGAAUCUCGGUGAAGGCCCAAAGAGUAAUGCCAUGUUCAGAUUAAUUCAACCAGUUUUUUGUUUUUACCAUGAUAAAAAAUUAAAACAGAACAAAAUAAUAAAAUGGUAAUGGAGAAAUUGGGAAUUAGGGUUAACGAUACCGAUUGGGAUGUCUCAGAAAUUCUCCUUCCUCGCUCGUGGUUGAAGACGGCGGCUUCCCUUUUGCUUCUCCGUCGAGCUCUCUUCGAUCAACCUCGAUUCUCCUCUCUUGCUCUCCGACGUCUCCUCUUACGAACGCCGCCGCACCGGUGAGUGCCUCCUAGAAGCGGUGUCUCCGAAAACUCAACCGAUGUCACCUCAGCCACCCUCCGUCUUCGACUCGUCUUCUCCUUCUAUUACUCAGUCGCGCAAAUUCGAUGAUGUCUAGAAGCCAUUAGCAACGGAAUCAGAAAUCCACCUUGGCGCGUCUCAGGUACUUCUCUAUGUUCUUUGCUUCAUUGUCUCCGAUUCAAACAUUCUUCUCUUUGGUUUUUCUUCUUCUUUUUCUUCGAUUUGCUCUUCUUCUAUGUUGUUGUGUAUUGCUGCGUUGAGAGAUGCGAGUUGAGAGCUUGCGAGUAAGAUUGAGUUGCAGAGAGAUUGCGCGUUGAGAGGAAUGAGAAUGAAUCAGUGAAAUGGCGUGGGACGAUGAAGUGGUGGCAGAGUGAGGAUGAAGCGUGUGUUUGAACUUUUAACUGUACACUUCUUCUUUCAACGUUUGCAAGCGAAACGAUGAUGAAGCUUGUGCUUUUUCUUCGGUCCCCUUUUCUGCAGGUGAAUGGAGCUGACUUUUUAUACGGGCAUUGAUUGGGCUCUUGUAAUGUAACUUCUGGAUUUCUAUGCCUUUCGAAAUGGUGACGCGUUUUGAUACGCAAUUGCAGGUCUGGUGUGAUAUGUUAGAAAGGGUAUGGUUUGGAAGAAACUUGGUUCUAAGAUGGGAGCUUGGAUCACUUAACACAAUCAACUGUAGCAAUGGUUCAGAACAAGUCAGUGGCGGAGGGUUAGAUUUAUUUCUGUUUUUUGGUAGUUUUGCUUCUGUCAGUAGUGUAAAGAUUAAAACGAAAGUCUGCUGAAAGUUAGUUGUCAUAGGUUAUUAGGAAAUUGGUAUUGUUAGUUUAGUGUAGCAUGACGGUUCGAAUUCUAAGGGGUUUUGUGGUUUAUUAUUUUUGGGAAUUAAAAAGGUAUGUGGUUAGUAUGUGUAUGGCAGCAGGUUUGAAUGGUAAUUGUGUAGGGGCUGUUUUCUUUUUGUAUUGAACUAAUGUAUGUUAAUACUUAAUGGAUGUGCUUGGUACUGGAAGUUGGUUUUGAAUAGUGGCAGGUGUACAUGACUUGAAGAUGGCUUGAAUAUUGUGAUGAGUGUUUAAGUGUUGAACAUCAGCUGACUGCAGACAGGACUUGAAUAUGCUGUUAGAUUUGAGUCUGAAUUUGGUUUUAUGUAUGGCUGAACCAUGAUGAAUGAUGAUACUGAACUGAGACAUUCUGAUAUUGCAGGUUUGGAGCAGCAUGAGGAAGUGAAUAUUGUGGCUGAGUGACUGCUAUGGUUGAAUGGGGUGGGACUGAUUUAAUGUUGGCUUGAUAGUGCCGAGUCAGAUUCAAGUGUACCUCAAGAGUGUUUCGCUUUUUUUUUGUGAUCGUUUUGAAUUAUGUAUUUAUGGUGCCAGUUUAGGUCUUUUCUCUCGGAUGGAUGCAAGAUACGAUGACUUGAUUUGAACUGAUAUUGGCUCCGAUGUGUAUGGGACUGUUAGUAAAUGGAUGUGGAAUGUAUUUUUAUGAACCAAGACUUAUUUCAAAUAUAUUUUGGAGUGUAUGUGAAUGUAUGUAUUAAUGCAAGACUGUAUGAUUGUAUUGGCUUGUUUGACAAACUCCCUGUAAUAGCUUCUGACCCAUGUAAUGAUAGGGAUGUUGAAUGGAACUUGUAUCCUUUUAGACAUGACUGAAAGCUUGAAUUGUAGUGCAAAUAGAUUUUAGCUUUUUCUUCCUUUCAAAAGCAAUUUGAAAAUUCCUCCCUACACUUUGAAACAUCAAAUCUUUUGCCAUUACUUUACUCACCAUGCUUGAAUCCAACUACCAAUAAGAAAGCCUUUAGUUAUAGCUUC
Molecule: long non-coding RNA, 5054 nt
Organism: Vicia villosa (hairy vetch)
Lineage: Eukaryota; Viridiplantae; Streptophyta; Magnoliopsida; Fabales; Fabaceae
Exons: 3
Source: RefSeq, a predicted model, not a curated record